This 880-nucleotide ribosomal RNA is filed under the name uncultured Armatimonadota bacterium. RNAcentral's name for it is "bacterial SSU rRNA". It matches the Rfam family "Bacterial small subunit ribosomal RNA", at positions 8 to 881 of the family's 1533-position model. The record is from RNAcentral. Lineage: Bacteria; Bacillati; Armatimonadota.
AGAGUUUGAUCCUGGCUCAGGACGAACGCUAGCGGCGUGCCUAAGCUAUGCAAGUCGAGCGGGGUUUCAGAGUCGAGUUUCCUUCGGGAGACAAAGCACUGGAACCUAGCGGCAAACGGGUGAGUAACGCGUGAGCAACCUACCCCAUUGUCUGGGAUAACAGGCCGAAAGGCCUGCUAAUACCGGAUACGAAGCUCCUUCGCAUGUUGGAGCUUGGAAAGGGGCAACCCGCAACGGGAGGGGCUCGCGGCCUAUCAGCUAGUUGGUGAGGUAACGGCUCACCAAGGCGACGACGGGUAGCCGACCUGAGAGGGUGACCGGCCACACUGGGACUGAGAUACGGCCCAGACUCCUACGGGAGGCAGCAAGCGGGAAUAUUGCACAAUGGGCGCAAGCCUGAUGCAGCGACGCCGCGUGAGGGAUGAAGGCCUUCGGGUCGUAAACCUCUGUUGAUGGGGACGAAGAUCUGACGGUACCCAUCGAGGAAGCCCCGGCUAACUCCGUGCCAGCAGCCGCGGUAAUACGGAGGGGGCAAGCGUUGUCCGGAUUUACUGGGCGUAAAGAGCGCGUAGGCGGUCCGUUAAGUCGGCUGUGAAAUCGCUGGGCUUAACCCAGCAAUGUCAGUCGAUACUGGCGGACUAGAGUCCGGGAGAGGGAAGUGGAAUUGCUGGUGUAGCGGUGGAAUGCGUAGAUAUCAGCAAGAACACCAGUGGCGAAGGCGGCUUCCUGGACCGGUACUGACGCUGAGGCGCGAAAGCUAGGGGAGCAAACGGGAUUAGAUACCCCGGUAGUCCUAGCCGUAAACGAUGGUCACUAGGUGUUGCGGGUAUCGACCCCUGCAGUGCCGGAGCUAACGCAUUAAGUGACCCGCCUGGGGAGU